RNAcentral lists this transfer RNA (73 nucleotides) under Lachnospiraceae bacterium. Its description in RNAcentral is "tRNA-Ala". It matches the Rfam family "tRNA". From Rfam's summary of the family: Transfer RNA (tRNA) molecules are approximately 80 nucleotides in length. Their secondary structure includes four short double-helical elements and three loops (D, anti-codon, and T loops). Lineage: Bacteria; Bacillati; Bacillota; Clostridia; Lachnospirales; Lachnospiraceae. The record is from RNAcentral. RNAcentral also lists the same sequence under 2 other names.
GGGGUAUUAGCGCAGCUGGGAGCGCGCCACACUGGCAGUGUGGAGGCCACGGGUUCGAGUCCCGUAUACUCCA